RNAcentral lists this unclassified non-coding RNA (387 nucleotides) under Hevea brasiliensis (rubber tree). The record is from RNAcentral. Lineage: Eukaryota; Viridiplantae; Streptophyta; Magnoliopsida; Malpighiales; Euphorbiaceae.
UCAAAUCUCACAACACCAACCAGACCUUACAUUUUCUCCAGAAAGCCAGGAACUGCUAGCCAGACUUGAGGAUCCUUACCUAUUCAAUGUGUUUGGUGCAGUAGAUGAGCCUGAACUUGAACCACAGCUUGCCCUGGGGCCGCCAUUGUUUGAUCCGGUUCCAGGCUGCAUGAAUAGUGCGAGGGAAGUAAGGAAUCCUGCAACUCGUGGUACCUUCUUCGAUGACUUCCCUUCGGACAUGUUUGACAACAUUGUACCACUUCCAAGCCCUUAGCAGUGUGUCAGUCACGUAGCUGUUUUCAUCUCGAUGGUGGAUGAUCAACUCUUAACUAAUUUCUUUAGUUGCAUUUCUUAUGAAAUUGUUGUGCAUGUGAAUGCUAUUCUUUG